UGCCUAUUGAUAAUUUGGGUCCUGUAGAUACUCGCACAACAUCUCCUAUUCAUAGAUCCGCCCCUGCUUUUAUACAGUUAGAUACAAAAUUAUCUAUUUUUGAAACAGGAAUUAAAGUAGUAGAUCUUUUAGCCCCUUAUCGACGUGGAGGAAAAAUAGGACUAUUCGGAGGGGCUAGAGU
This is a long non-coding RNA of Cucurbita maxima (winter squash), 181 nucleotides long. RefSeq lists it as uncharacterized. The transcript is spliced from 4 exons. NCBI's taxonomy places the organism in Eukaryota, Viridiplantae, Streptophyta, Magnoliopsida, Cucurbitales, Cucurbitaceae. The record is from RefSeq and is a predicted model, not a curated record.